This 253-nucleotide ribosomal RNA is filed under the name uncultured bacterium. RNAcentral describes it as "partial 16S ribosomal RNA". It matches the Rfam family "Bacterial small subunit ribosomal RNA", at positions 524 to 776 of the family's 1533-position model. The record is from RNAcentral.
UACGUAGGGGGCAAGCGUUGUCCGGAAUCAUUGGGCGUAAAGCGCGCGUAGGCGGCUAGAUCAGUCUGCUGUAAAAGUCAAAGGCUCAACCUUUGAAAGCCGGUGGAUACUGUCUAGCUAGAGUCCGGAAGAGGCGAGUGGAAUUCCUGGUGUAGCGGUGGAAUGCGCAGAUAUCAGGAGGAACACCGAUGGCGAAGGCAGGUCUCUGGGCCACUACUGACGCUGAGAAGCGAAAGCAUGGGGAGCGAACAGG